CCUACGGGUGGCAGCAGUGGGGAAUAUUGGACAAUGGAGGAAACUCUGACCCAGCAACGCCGCGUGAAUGAUGAAGGUCUUCGGAUUGUAAAGUACUUUUCUAGGGGAAGAAGGAAGUGACGGUACCUUAGGAAUAAGCCUCGGCUAACUCCGUGCCAGCAGCCGCGGUAAUACGUGGGAGGCAAGCGUUAUCCGGAAUGACUGGGCGUAAGGGGUGCGCAGGUGGUUUGACAAGUUGGUAGCGUAACUCCGGGGCUCAACCUCGGCACUACUACCAAAACUGGCGGACUUGAGUGCAGGAGAGGGAGAUAGAAUGCCUGGUGUAGCGGUGGAAUGCGUAGAGAUCAGGAGGAACACCAGUGGCGAAGGCG
This 371-nucleotide ribosomal RNA is filed under the name uncultured bacterium. Its description in RNAcentral is "partial 16S ribosomal RNA". It matches the Rfam family "Bacterial small subunit ribosomal RNA", at positions 338 to 723 of the family's 1533-position model. The record is from RNAcentral.